Molecule: small RNA, 4535 nt
Filed under: Rattus norvegicus (Norway rat)
Lineage: Eukaryota; Metazoa; Chordata; Mammalia; Rodentia; Muridae
Description: uncharacterized LOC108349652
Source: RNAcentral
UCCUCUCAUGAGACAGUUUCCAGGAAAAAAAAUCACAUGACACAACAGAGUCUCCAAAGGAACUGGAAGUUUCUACUUCGCUUCCCCAGCAAAUCCCCAGUAUGGGGUAAGAGGUCAUCCACCCCAUCUGGGCUGCAAUUUUGUCUGUUGUGAUCUUGUGCAGGUGGCCACAACUUCUUUGAGCUCACAAAUGUGACAGCCACGGCGUGUCCAGAAGGUAGCAUGUUGCAGCAUGCCUCCCUACCCUUUGGCUUUUCUGCUUUGUCUUCCUUGAUGUUCUCUGAGCCUUUGGUUGGGUGAAGAGUUGACAAAGGCAUUCUGUUUGGCGCCUUGCCAUGGAUAUCGAGUUUUCAUACUGUCAUUUGUUACAAAGACUGUAUGUACUUUUCCAUUGAGCUUCCUGGGGGCCUUUAUCAGAAAUCAGCUAUGUACCUGUGAAGAUUGGUUUCUGGACACUUCAUCCACGGAUACUGUCCUCUGUGUACAUCUGAGAUGAACAGUGCAAUGUCUGAAGCUCUUUGUUGGCUCACAUCAGAACGGCAAAGACGAAUGGCCAAUCCUACAACACUCCCUAAGUAUUGGAAGGAGACAAUGACGCCCGUUGGUCACCCAAAGCAGGGUCUCACUACAUAGCUCUACUUGGCCUGGACUUGGCUUUUUAGACCAGAGUAACCUUGAACUCACAGACAUCCACCUGCCUUGGGAUUAAAGGCACCGAUAGGAUAUUGUACUCGUUGAAUGGACCUGAAUAGGCACAAGACAUCAAAACCAAGUUCUCGGCACAAAGGAGGUUUAUUUGCCCCAGAAGAGCAGAGAAUAAGAGAAAAGAUAGAAAUGAAGCACAAGGAAGAAAGGAAAAGAGAAUCAAGCCAGUGGGAUUUUCUCAUUAGAUGGUUACCGUGGGAACACAGAGGACAAUCAGCGGUGACGACUGCAUACACUGGAUUGUGGAAAGAAGAGUGUCUCAUGGACCAACUGGUGAAGAGAUGCAGUCGUGGGCAUCUUAAAAGGGCCACUGGUUGCUUCUCGGCAUGCGACAAGAUGCUGGGGCUCCCAACAUGCUCCUAACUGCAAGACCUCACUGGAAUGUGGAGGAGUCCUUUCUGCUUAAACUUGGUUGAAGAGGAUAGAGAUCCUCUUUCUCCAAAUGCAUGCUGAGGUUUACUCCUGAGGUGCAUGCACACUGGGAAGCUUCCAGAACUUCAGUGGCAAAGACACUGACAUCAUGGGCAAUGCUGUCUGAUCAUGCAGGGCAGGUAUUCCAAGGAUUGUUUAUGACAAACCGUACUGAGUCAUGCACACUUAAGAUUUAUGCAGUGCUUGACCACUGAGAUCUCAUUUCGUGAGGUCUCAAGAGCCUCAAGAUGCUUCCGGAUGGUUCGGUUUUCUGCUGUUACAGCAAAAGAAGCUUAAGCAUAAUCCUGGCAUAGGUUUCAGCCUUGCAUCUUGGCUGAAUUUUGGAAGGAGUUUUCAUCUUCCUUAUUCUUUCUUCUCCCAGGAAGGACUCCCUGGACCCUGUACAUUCUUCAUCUAGACUUGUUGCCCUAGGAAACUGAACACAGCUAUGAGUUUUGCUGGCUCCAAUCCUGUGUUUUUUUCUGGCAACUUUCACAGGUACUGGAGACAGAUGGCCAAGGAGUCAGAAGUUUGGUCCCAAAAGGAAGGCUGGAGACAAACAAAACAUGUCCUGAGAGUGCAGGGGAAAACAGCAGUCAUUUCUGUUCACAGUGCUUAAGAUCUCAUAGCCACCUUACGCUUGAAAUCGCAUCCUUGGCUUUCCAUGAGCUUAGAUGAUUACGGUCACCUUUCAGUUCAGUAGUUUUUCAAAUAGAUUCCCAUAAUGCAUCUGUUAGCAGAUGCCGUAGCAAUGGAAAUCUCAUUUGAAAAGAUCAUCUCUACACAAUGCAGAGCCUGAUGUGUACUGGUGUUUCUACUAAUUCACUAUAGACCAUCAGGUUUUCCACCUUCUAUAUUAAAUCUAGAUAUAAUUCAUCAAUUAAAAAUGCCUUUCCUCUUAGAGACAGACGUCUUUUGAGAAGUCUCCUAAUAUUUGCAUGUACGAGGUCAGCCGUUGCCACCAUUUCUGCAGUUAUCUGGCUGCCAACAGUUGCCUCUCUGAGCUCAAAAGCUUCAACGCCUUGGGGCGGCUUUUGUGUUGGCGUUGUGAAUUUGUAGGCACAUGGAGAAAGCUGGAUGCUGAAACUCUGCAACAAGCCGUGCCCUGCUUUAUUUUUAUCCUAAUGGCUACAUUUAGAGUUGUGUGAUUAUGGGAGAAAGGCUCUUACUGAACCUGUUUUGGCUAGGCUUCCUGGACAGUAAGCCCCUUAGAUCUUGUAUCCAUUCCCAGCAUUGAAUAACGGGCACACACCACCAUGCCUGUUGUCGUAAUUUCUGUUCUAAUGCUGCAAAGAGACUCUAUAGACAAGGUAACUUACAGAAGAACUGGGGACUUGCUUACAGUUUCUGAGGGUUGUCUAUUCUCAUCAUUGCUGGGUGUGCGGUGGUAGGCAGGCAAUGUGCUAGAGAAGUGGCUAAAAGUCCACCCCCAGUGACAUACCUCCUCCAACAAGGUCACAUCUCCUAAUCCUUCCUAAACAGUUUCACUAAGUGUGGACCAAGCAUUCAAAUAACUGACCCCAUGGGAGUUAUACUCAUCCAAAACACUAUAUUAUAUCCCCUGGUCCUUACAGGCUUGUAGACAUAUCACAACCCAAAAUGUAUUUAGUUAAACUUCAAAAGUCCUCUAUCACAGUCUCGACACUGUUUAAGAGUCUAAAGUAUCUUCUUCGCCUCAAGGCAAUCUCUUGUAAUCCCUUGUAAAAUCAAAAGGCAGAUCAUAUACUUCCAACAUAAAAUAGCACAGAAUAUAUAUCACCACUCUAAAAAGGAUGAAAAGGGCAUAAUGAUCGUGAAGAAAUGCUGGACCACACCAAGACUGAAAACCAGCAGGGCAAAAUCCAAAUUCUGUAACUCCAUGUCCGAUGUUAAGGGGUUCUUUAGAUGCCUCUUUCCUUCCAGCUUUGCUGACUAUUGCACACUUCUCUCUCUUUGGCUGGUUUCACAUGCUGUCCGCAGCUCUCCUUGGCAGGUGACCCAUAGCUCUGGCAUCUCCAACGUCUUGGGUCUCCACUCAAGGUUUGGACCUUCAGAGCUUCAUUCAAUGGCCUCUCUGGGCCUCCAUGCAGAAACUCUCCUGUCACAGGUCUAGCCUUGACAGGAGAUUCCACAGCUUGUUUUUCUUGUAUCCUUGUCUUUAAAGCCAGAACCACAAUGUGGCUGAAACUGUCAAGUUCUGUGGUCUGCUGGGCUUGGAAAUUGGCCCCUUCCUUGAAUUACAUUUACUAUAAGAUUUAAGGUUGAUGUCUAGGACUAGAAAAUCCCUAAGCUGUCUUCUUUCAUGGGUUGCAGGAUUAGCUGGGUGGAGUCUUGUCCUGAGGUUACAGCUCCUUUUAUUCCAUUUAGCAUCAGGCUUUUCUUUAAACUUCUUUAUCCGUUUGAGCACCAGACUUGGCUCCAUCACUAGAUCUCCUGAUUCUCCUUUUCCCUGCAAACUGUACCAUCUGUGUUUCUCUUUGGCCCACUUGCUCCUUUUCACUGUAGAUCUGUAGAAGGGUGAUAACUAAUAAUCAUGUGACCUGGUCAAUACUCGGCUGUCUUGAAAGCUCCUUUGCCAACCACAUUAAUCCAAAACUCUUCAAUUUAGCCUCAGCAGACUUUUAGCACAAGGGCUAAAAGCAGCCAUUUUCCCCCAAAAUAUCACAAUAGACAGUUGAUACUAUUCUUCCCCUCUGAAAUCUCUUGAGCCAGGUCUGCUUGGUCCACAUCUCCCUCAGCACCUCUUCUGUGCCUCUACUAGGGUGGCCCAUUAAUCCCCGCUUAAAGUGUUCAACAUCUUUUCUAAUCCAAAGUCCCAAAGUCGUUCAUAUUUCUUUAACAAAAAGCCUGGUCAGGCCUGUCACAGAAAUGUCACAUUCUUGCUCCAGCUUCUGACUUUGUUACUGUUCUAUGGCUGUAAUGAGGUAUUGUUACAAUGGCAACUUAUAGAAGAAAGCAUUUAAUUAGGGACUUGCUUAUAGUUUUAGAGGUAAUAGGUUAUCUUUCCCAAAGAAAUAUUCCAGCUGAAUUAAAAGAAGAAAUAAAAGGCAUUUGGGGGAAGUUCGCCAGCCUCAGGGGAUGAGACUGGAAAAUGUCAUGGGUACACUAUGUCGUGGAAGGUUUUUAUAGAUUGUAGAUGAAGAAAAAUGACAUGUCUGUCACACACUGGGUUGGUGCCCAGGGAUGGUCAUCUUGGGCAGGGGCUUAGGUGACUGGCAACUUCAGGUGACUAAGGUUGGGGCAGCCAUCAGGAAAGUGGGACUGAGGUUUGGCACCCUUUUGUAUUCGGAGGAAUGGUAUUUACUGGAUCGUGUGUGGGUUACAAGCCAGGGACUCCAACCAAACAAGAGCAUGGUGGCAGGCAGGCAGGCAGGUAUGGUGCUAGGAUAGUAGCUGAGAGAUUUUACAUCCAGAUUCAUAGACAGCAGGCAGAGAGAGAC